GAUGAACGCUGGCGGCGUGCCUAAUACAUGCAAGUCGAGCGAACGGACGAGAAGCUUGCUUCGCUGAUGUUAGCGGCGGACGGGUGAGUAACACGUGGAUAACCGACCUAUAAGACUGGGAUAACUUCGGGAAACCGGAGCUAAUACCGGAUAAUAUUUUGAACCGCAUGGUUCAAAAGUGAAAGACGGUCUUGCUGUCACUUAUAGAUGGAUCCGAGCUGCAUUAGCUAGUUGGUAAGGUAACGGCCUACCAAGGCAACGAUGCAUAGCCGACCUGAGAGGGUGAUCGGCCACACUGGAACUGAGACACGGUCCAGACUCCUACGGGAGGCAGCAGUAGGGAAUCUUCCGCAAUGGGCGAAAGCCUGACGGAGCAACGCCGCGUGAGUGAUGAAGGUCUUCGGAUCGUAAAACUCUGUUAUUAGGGAAGAACAUAUGUGUAAGUAACUGUGCACAUCUUGACGGUACCUACUCAGAAAGCCACGGCUAACUACGUG
RNAcentral lists this ribosomal RNA (497 nucleotides) under uncultured bacterium. RNAcentral's name for it is "partial 16S ribosomal RNA". It matches the Rfam family "Bacterial small subunit ribosomal RNA", at positions 28 to 507 of the family's 1533-position model. The record is from RNAcentral.